Brassica oleracea var. oleracea is the source of this 692-nucleotide long non-coding RNA. RefSeq lists it as uncharacterized. The transcript has 4 exons. NCBI's taxonomy places the organism in Eukaryota, Viridiplantae, Streptophyta, Magnoliopsida, Brassicales, Brassicaceae. The record is from RefSeq and is a predicted model, not a curated record.
UGAAGGAGGAGCCUUGUUGAGUAUAACUCACAUUCUUAAAACAUUUCAUGUUUCCUAUGAUUUAUCCUUUUUAUGAUACUUUCAGGUCUGUCUAUCCACACAUUAAAUUUGGCUUGUCAAAAUAAGUCAUAAGAUUACAGCUUCAGACACCUUUUCAUCAAGUCCGACCAUACAAUGGGAUAUUAGAUGCCUUUAGAACCAUAACGAAAGAGGAAGAACCUAUUGCAUUCUAUAAAGGUUUCACAUGGUGCUAUUCAGUUUACAGCGUAUGAGGAACUCCAUAAAGUCAUUGUAGAUUCGAUAGGGAAGAUAAGAAAAUCUGAAUCCGCUGAUAAUUUAUUGGCCGAUAAACAUAAUUUAAAUCCCAAUAUUAUGUAGUCGUGAAGCCCAUGAAGAACACAAACGAAAAGCAAAAAAAAGUUAGAGAGAAACAGACACGUGUCAACUCGUCCUUCUACUCAAUGACGUGGCGUUCUAAGGAGAGAGAAAACACAAGUUUAUAUAAACUAGAGAGUUUUUCUGGACUACGCCCAGAUUUUUUUCGUAUAAUAUUACUAAAUUGAACUAAACUUGCGUUUUAUUAUUUUGAGAUGGUAAUUUCUGGUGAAAUUGUGUUGUAGCUCUCUGUUGUUGAUGUUUUUGGAUUCAACAAUUGUUAUAUUAUUUUGGUAAAUGAUGUUAGCGCGGUUUGU